GCUUGAGCGGCCGGCCUGUCCAUGGCUGGGAGCGAGCUCUUACUGUGGUGCAAAGAUGCGUUUGCCAGCUUGAUUUGGCCAAACGAACCGCCCAAGG
Molecule: non-coding RNA, 97 nt
Filed under: Alexandrium tamarense
Lineage: Eukaryota; Dinophyceae; Gonyaulacales; Pyrocystaceae
Source: RNAcentral